GAUGAACGCUGGCGGCGUGCUUAACACAUGCAAGUCGAACGGAAAGGCCCAAGCUUGCUUGGGUACUCGAGUGGCGAACGGGUGAGUAACACGUGGGUGAUCUGCCCUGCACUUCGGGAUAAGCCUGGGAAACUGGGUCUAAUACCGGAUAGGACCACAUUUUGGAUGGUGUGGUGGAAAGUUUUUCGGUGUGGGGUGAGCUCGCGGCCUAUCAGCUUGUUGGGGGGGUAAUGGCCUACCAAGGCGUCGACGGGUAGCCGGCCUGAGAGGGUGUACGGCCACAUUGGGACUGAGAUACGGCCCAGACUCCUACGGGAGGCAGCAGUGGGGAAUAUUGCACAAUGGGCGCAAGCCUGAUGCAGCGACGCCGCGUGGGGGAUGACGGCCUUCGGGUUGUAAACUCCUUUCGCUAGGGACGAAGCGUUUUUGUGACGGUACCUGGAGAAGAAGCACCGGCUAACUACGUG
This 467-nucleotide ribosomal RNA is filed under the name uncultured bacterium. RNAcentral's name for it is "partial 16S ribosomal RNA". It matches the Rfam family "Bacterial small subunit ribosomal RNA", at positions 28 to 507 of the family's 1533-position model. The record is from RNAcentral.